This 97-nucleotide transfer RNA is filed under the name Candidatus Bathyarchaeota archaeon. Its description in RNAcentral is "tRNA-Val". It matches the Rfam family "tRNA". Rfam says of the family: Transfer RNA (tRNA) molecules are approximately 80 nucleotides in length. The record is from RNAcentral. RNAcentral also lists the same sequence under 1 other name. Lineage: Archaea; Thermoproteati; Candidatus Bathyarchaeota.
GGGCCGGUAGUCUAGCCUGGUAAGCAAAAGAUCGCACAGAACGGACGUCGCCCUCACACGGCGAAGGUCGUGGGUUCGAAUCCCACCCGGCCCACCA